UCUCCGUUGGUGAACCGGCGGAGGGAUCAUUACAGGACUCGCAAGACUCCUACAACCCUGUGAACUUAACUAUAAGCACGUUGCUUCGGCGGGUGUCUCGGAGGGGGUUCUCCCUCCCCGAGACGCUAAACCCGCCGGCAGCCUACUAUACUCUGUCUCUUUGCGUUGGCAUCUCGAGUACAAUCAAACAAGUUAAAACUUUCAACAACGGAUCUCUUGGUUCUG
This 225-nucleotide unclassified non-coding RNA is filed under the name plant metagenome. RNAcentral describes it as "partial contains small subunit ribosomal RNA, internal transcribed spacer 1, and 5.8S ribosomal RNA". The record is from RNAcentral.